This is a non-coding RNA of Podarcis lilfordi (Lilford's wall lizard), 75 nucleotides long. The record is from the annotation of a GenBank genome assembly. Lineage: Eukaryota; Metazoa; Chordata; Lepidosauria; Squamata; Lacertidae.
UGCUGGGAUAGCUCAGUUGGUAGAGCAUGAGUCUUUUAAUCUCAGAAUCUUGGGUUCAAGCCCCACAUUGGGCAA